This 73-nucleotide transfer RNA is filed under the name Sellimonas intestinalis. Its description in RNAcentral is "tRNA-Lys". It matches the Rfam family "tRNA". Rfam says of the family: Transfer RNA (tRNA) molecules are approximately 80 nucleotides in length. The record is from RNAcentral. Lineage: Bacteria; Bacillati; Bacillota; Clostridia; Lachnospirales; Lachnospiraceae.
GGGCGUGUAGCUCAGUCGGUAGAGCACUUGACUUUUAAUCAAGUUGUCUGGGGUUCGAAUCCCCGCACGCUCA